Molecule: ribosomal RNA, 468 nt
Filed under: uncultured bacterium
Lineage: Bacteria
Description: partial 16S ribosomal RNA
Rfam family: Bacterial small subunit ribosomal RNA
Source: RNAcentral
GACGAACGCUGGCGGCGUGCUUAACACAUGCAGGUCGAACGGAAAGGCCCUGCUUUUGUGGGGUGCUCGAGUGGCGAACGGGUGAGUAACACGUGAGUAACCUGCCCUUGACUUUGUGAUAACUUCAGGAAACUGGGGCUAAUACCGGAUAGGAGCUCCUGCUGCAUGGUGGGGGUUGGAAAGAUUCGGCGGUUGGGGAUGUACUCGCGGCUUAUCAGCUUGUUGGGGGGGUAGUGGCUUACCAAGGCUUUGACGGGUAGCCGGCCUGAGAGGGUGACCGGCCACAUUGGGACUGAGAUACGGCCCAGACUCCUACGGGAGGCAGCAGUGGGGAAUAUUGCACAAUGGGCGGAAGCCUGAUGCAGCAACGCCGCGUGCGGGAUGACGGCCUUCGGGUUGUAAACCGCUUUCGCCUGUGACGAAGAGUGAGUGACGGUAAUGGGUAAAGAAGCACCGGCUAACUACGUG